Molecule: long non-coding RNA, 585 nt
Organism: Gossypium arboreum
Lineage: Eukaryota; Viridiplantae; Streptophyta; Magnoliopsida; Malvales; Malvaceae
Exons: 3
Source: RefSeq, a predicted model, not a curated record
UUUGUAAAUUAAUUAAAAUAACCUAAUAAGACAAAUGAUAAAAGCUAUCAUUUUUUUUCAUUCUUUCUUCUUCAACCGUGGGAAAGAACAGAAAAUAGCAGCCAUGGAUGAGCUCCAUUCGGCCAAGCUUUUAUGGCUUAUAUAGAUGAUGAAAAUUGAGACUUGGACCUAGAACGGAAAGAAAUCGAUUUAUGGACGAGUAUGUCCUUUUCACAUUUGUGGUAUCGAGAGUUUCCAGGUUAGCUCGGGUUGGAGGCCGUCAGAGAUAUUAUCACCCUAUCGAGUUAACGUUAUCGGAGUAAGUAAACUCAAGUGAUUCGAGUCUAUGGCAUGUAUAGGGUUUUAAUGUGAGUAUGUAAUAUUAUGAUUUAGCCAAAGGCAUUGGCUUGUUAUUAAGGUAGUAUUAGUCAUGUAAAUUGGCCUAUGUCGGCUAAUGACAUUAUGGGCCCAUAUGAUUAUUCUUAUGCAUGUAUGUUAUUAUCUCUUGUGAUGUGGCUUACAACAUGUAUACCUAGAGAUUGAAUUGAGAUUCAUUGAUGAGCUAGUAACUAAUGCAGGAUUAAGUGAUUGGUAAAUAGUUAAUAA